This 534-nucleotide ribosomal RNA is filed under the name uncultured bacterium. RNAcentral describes it as "bacterial SSU rRNA". It matches the Rfam family "Archaeal small subunit ribosomal RNA", at positions 723 to 1257 of the family's 1478-position model. The record is from RNAcentral.
AGUGAAUAGAUACCCAGGUAGUCCCAGCUGUAAACGAUGCGCGUUAGGUGUAUCGGUGACCACGAGUCACCGAGGUGCCGAAGAGAAAUCGUGAAACGUGCCGCCUGGGAAGUACGGUCGCAAGGCUGAAACUUAAAGGAAUUGGCGGGGGAGCACCACAACAGGUGGAGCCUGCGGUUUAAUCGGACUCAACGCCGGGAAACUCACCAGAUAAGACAGCUGAAUGAUAGUCGGGCUGAAGACUCUACUUGACUAGCUGAGAGGAGGUGCAUGGCCGUCGUCAGUUCGUACUGUGAAGCAUCCUGUUAAGUCAGGCAACGAGCGAGACCCACGCCAACAGUUGCCAGCUCGUCCUCCGGGAUGGAGGGGACACUGUUGGGACCGCCUCUGCUAAAGAGGAGGAAGGAAUGGGCAACGGUAGGUCAGCAUGCCCCGAAUUAUCUGGGCUACACGCGGGCUACAAUGGGUGGGACAAUGGGUAUCGACACCGAAAGGUGAAGGCAAUCUCCUAAACCCAUCCUUAGUUCGGAUUGU